CCAAUAUCUCUAUUCCUUUUCUCCUUCUCUCUAAUCUCAGCCCUUCGAUUCAUCCAACAAUUUCCCAGCCCUCCGAUUUACUUAUUAAUCUCCUCAAUUCUCUCUCUCUUCCUCCCAUGGACCGCCGUGUUCGUACAAACCCAUUCCUCUCCGAACAGGAAGAUCCCGAAGCCACCUCCGACGACGGCUUACCCGAAUCACCCUCCGACUGCAAUGACUCAAAACCCACCGCUGCUCCAC
Molecule: long non-coding RNA, 240 nt
Filed under: Cucumis sativus (cucumber)
Lineage: Eukaryota; Viridiplantae; Streptophyta; Magnoliopsida; Cucurbitales; Cucurbitaceae
Description: long non-coding RNA (CSAT_LNC002631)
Source: RNAcentral